RNAcentral lists this ribosomal RNA (483 nucleotides) under uncultured bacterium. Its description in RNAcentral is "bacterial SSU rRNA". It matches the Rfam family "Bacterial small subunit ribosomal RNA", at positions 29 to 507 of the family's 1533-position model. The record is from RNAcentral.
AUGAACGCUAGCGGCAGGCUUAACACAUGCAAGUCGAGGGGCAACACGGGUAGCAAUACCUGGUGGCGACCGGCGCAAGGGUGCGUAACGCGUGAGCAACAUGCCCUAUACAGGGGGAUAAUCCAGGGAAACUUGGUCUAAUAUCCCAUAGUAUUUAGAGGUGGCAUCACCACUAAAUUAAAGCUUCGGUGGUAUAGGAUUGGCUCGCGUGACAUUAGCUGGAUGGUGGGGUAACGGCUCACCAUGGCGAUGAUGUCUAGGGGUUCUGAGAGGAAGACCCCCCACACUGGGACUGAGACACGGCCCAGACUCCCACGGGAGGCAGCAGUGAGGAAUAUUGGACAAUGGAUGGAAAUCUGAUCCAGCCAUGCCGCGUGCAGGAAGACGGCCCUAUGGGUUGUAAACUGCUUUUAUAUGGGAGCAAUAAGGUUUACGCGUAGACCGAUGAGAGUACCAUAUGAAUAAGCAUCGGCUAACUCCGUG